UACGUAGGGGGCAAGCGUUAUCCGGAUUUACUGGGUGUAAAGGGGGCGCAGACGGCGAUGCAAGCCAGGAGUGAAAGCCCGGGGCCCAACCCCGGGACUGCUCUUGGAUCUGCGUGGCUGGAGUGCAGGAGGGGCAGGCGGAAUUCCUGGUGUAGCGGUGAAAUGCGUAGAUAUCAGGAGGAACACCGGUGGCGAAGGCGGCCUGCUGGACUGCAACUGACGUUGAGGCCCGAAAGCGUGGGGAGCAAACAGG
This 253-nucleotide ribosomal RNA is filed under the name uncultured bacterium. RNAcentral's name for it is "partial 16S ribosomal RNA". It matches the Rfam family "Bacterial small subunit ribosomal RNA", at positions 524 to 776 of the family's 1533-position model. The record is from RNAcentral.